This 1369-nucleotide ribosomal RNA is filed under the name uncultured bacterium. Its description in RNAcentral is "bacterial SSU rRNA". It matches the Rfam family "Bacterial small subunit ribosomal RNA". The record is from RNAcentral.
AGUUUGAUCCUGGCUCAGGACGAACGCUGGCGGCACGCUUAACACAUGCAAGUCGAACGAGAGAAGAGAAGCUUGCUUUUCUGAUCUAGUGGCGGACGGGUGAGUAACACGUGAGCAAUCUGCCUUUCAGAGGGGGAUACCGAUUGGAAACGAUCGUUAAUACCGCAUAACAUAAUUGAACCGCAUGAUUUGAUUAUCAAAGAUUUAUCGCUGAAAGAUGAGCUCGCGUCUGAUUAGCUAGUUGGUAAGGUAACGGCUUACCAAGGCGACGAUCAGUAGCCGGACUGAGAGGUUGAUCGGCCACAUUGGGACUGAGACACGGCCCAGACUCCUACGGGGGCCACCAUUGGGGAAUAUUGCACAAUGGAGGAAAUUUUGAUGCAGCGAUCCCCCCUGAGGGAAAAAGGUUUUAGGAUUGUAAACCUCUGUUUUUCAGGGACGAAAAAAGACGGUACCUGAGGAGGAAGCUCCGGCUAACUACGUGCCAGCAGCCGCGGUAAUACGUAGGGAGCGAGCGUUGUCCGGAAUUACUGGGUGUAAAGGGAGCGUAGGCGGGAUCGCAAGUCAGAUGUGAAAACUAUGGGCUUAACCCAUAAACUGCAUUUGAAACUGUGGUUCUUGAGUGAAGUAGAGGUAAGCGGAAUUCCUAGUGUAGCGGUGAAAUGCGUAGAUAUUAGGAGGAACAUCAGUGGCGAAGGCGGCUUACUGGGCUUUAACUGACGCUGAGGCUCGAAAGCGUGGGGAGCAAACAGGAUUAGAUACCCUGGUAGUCCACGCCGUAAACGAUGAUUACUAGGUGUGGGGGGACUGACCCCUUCCGUGCCGCAGCAAACGCAAUAAGUAAUCCACCUGGGGAGUACGACCGCAAGGUUGAAACUCAAAGGAAUUGACGGGGGCCCGCACAAGCAGUGGAGUAUGUGGAUUAAUUCGAAGCAACGCGAAGAACCUUACCAGGUCUUGACAUCGUAUGCAUAGCUCAGAGAUGAGUGAAAUCUCUUCGGAGACAUAUAGACAGGUGGUGCAUGGUUGUCGUCAGCUCGUGUCGUGAGAUGUUGGGUUAAGUCCCGCAACGAGCGCAACCCUUACUGUUAGUUGCUACGCAAGAGCACUCUAGCAGGACUGCCGUUGACAAAACGGAGGAAGGUGGGGAUGACGUCAAAUCAUCAUGCCCCUUAUGACCUGGGCCUCACACGUACUACAAUGGCUGUUAACAGAGGGAUGCAAAGCCGCGAGGUGGAGCGAACCCCUAAAAGCAGUCUUAGUUCGGAUUGUAGGCUGCAACCCGCCUACAUGAAGUCGGAAUUGCUAGUAAUCGCAGAUCAGCAUGCUGCGGUGAAUACGUUCCCGGGCCUUGCACACACCGCCCGUC